AAAGAAAGAGGGAGGCAUGCCUAACACAUGCAAGUCGAACGAGACCUUCGGGUCUAGUGGCGCACGGGUGCGUAACGCGUGGGAACCUGCCCUUAGGUUCGGAAUAACUCCCCGAAAGGGGUGCUAAUACCGGAUAAUGUCUUCGGACCAAAGAUUUAUCGCCUUUGGAUGGGCCCGCGUUGGAUUAGCUAGUUGGUAGGGUAAAAGCCUACCAAGGCGACGAUCCAUAGCUGGUCUGAGAGGUUGAUCAGCCACACUGGGACUGAGACACGGCCCAGACUCCUACGGGAGGCAGCAGUGGGGAAUAUUGGACAAUGGGCGAAAGCCUGAUCCAGCAAUGCCGCGUGAGUGAUGAAGGCCUUAGGGUUGUAAAGCUCUUUUACCCGGGAUGAUAAUGACAGUACCGGGAGAAUAAGCUCCGGCUAACUCCGUG
Molecule: ribosomal RNA, 433 nt
Filed under: uncultured bacterium
Lineage: Bacteria
Description: partial 16S ribosomal RNA
Rfam family: Bacterial small subunit ribosomal RNA
Source: RNAcentral